GUUAUUUAGUAUAUGAGUACGGCCAAUUUCCCAUUUGUCAGGUUGAUGGCUAGU
RNAcentral lists this transfer RNA (54 nucleotides) under Sphaerirostris lanceoides. RNAcentral's name for it is "tRNA-Gly". The record is from RNAcentral. Lineage: Eukaryota; Metazoa; Acanthocephala; Palaeacanthocephala; Polymorphida; Centrorhynchidae.